This 72-nucleotide transfer RNA is filed under the name Cordylochernes scorpioides. Its description in RNAcentral is "tRNA-Glu". It matches the Rfam family "tRNA". From Rfam's summary of the family: Transfer RNA (tRNA) molecules are approximately 80 nucleotides in length. Their secondary structure includes four short double-helical elements and three loops (D, anti-codon, and T loops). Further hydrogen bonds mediate the characteristic L-shaped molecular structure. tRNAs have two regions of fundamental functional importance: the anti-codon, which is responsible for specific mRNA codon recognition, and the 3' end, to which the tRNAs corresponding amino acid is attached (by aminoacyl-tRNA synthetases). tRNAs cope with the degeneracy of the genetic code in two manners: having more than one tRNA (with a specific anti-codon) for a particular amino acid; and 'wobble' base-pairing, i.e. permitting non-standard base-pairing at the 3rd anti-codon position. Lineage: Eukaryota; Metazoa; Arthropoda; Arachnida; Pseudoscorpiones; Chernetidae. The record is from RNAcentral.
UCCCACGUGGUCUAGUGGCUAGGAAACCUGGCUCUCACCCAGGAGGCCCGGGUUUGAUUCCCGGCGUGGGAA